GUAAUCUGUGGUGAAAGUGCUCUGUGUACUUGAGUGGCAGCUCAAGACCCGGGCACCUGUUUUAACUUUUUCCAGUGGGAUUUCAGUGAAGCACAAACCUUGCAGUCCUGCUCUGCACAGGAAUAAAUUUAUCUCUUUUUCUUUUUUUCCCCCUGUAGGAGUAACUCGAUGACUUCAGUGGGAAUUGCUCAUAAACAAGAAAGAGACAGGGUCAUCUGGACUCUUCUGAAGGCAAGAGUCAGGGCCUGAAGUCUCCAUGAAUGACCUACCCAAGGCACAAGAAGAGGAUCUCACCUGCUGCCUCUUCUCCAGAGACUCCAUCCUGCCUCGAGCUUCAGCCGAGUGUUGGUGACAGAUUGAGAGAGAAGGAAUAAACCACAACACUAUGUUUUAAAGCAACCCAGUGGAACAGAGGGUAUGUAUAUUUGUUUUCCGUGGUUCUCUUUAAUUAUCUUACAAUUUCUGCGUCACAUCUACUUUGACUGGGUUUAAAGGCAGGUUGCAGAUUCAUAUA
Molecule: long non-coding RNA, 514 nt
Filed under: Calidris pugnax (ruff)
Lineage: Eukaryota; Metazoa; Chordata; Aves; Charadriiformes; Scolopacidae
Description: lncRNA (ENSCPUG00000014040.1)
Source: RNAcentral